UACCGGUCAGACUCCAGGUCUUAUAUCUUGAAACUGUAAGUCCCUGAAUUCACAGACAAUUCAGAGUAAGGAUGGAGGCAAAGAAGAGGACCUUGGGUUUACUGUUCACGAGAUGACCUCAUAAAGGUGUUCAGUGAUGAAGAGGAGUGGCUGAAGAGAUGGCUGUCUAGAGUCAACACAAACCUACCCCAAAGUUUGACCUUUGCCUUAAGUCAGUAACUGAGGAGGGCCACGGUCCUGAGUUCAGUCCAGACCCCAGGAAGAUUCAGAGCCUGCAGUUGUCCUCUGGUUUCUAAAGUAUGUUAUUGGGCUAAAGAUUUCAAGACAUUUAUCCUUCUUUGCUUUCUAUCGCAGCCAUUAAAUGUUUUAGAUAUUUUCUGCCAGAAGGCAGGAAUCAUGAAGAUAACAAAUAUUAAAGACAAAACCAAAUAACUUUUAAUGA
RNAcentral lists this long non-coding RNA (442 nucleotides) under Homo sapiens (human). RNAcentral's name for it is "non-protein coding LINC01780:17". Lineage: Eukaryota; Metazoa; Chordata; Mammalia; Primates; Hominidae. The record is from RNAcentral.